GAUGAACGCUGGCGGCGUGCCUAAUACAUGCAAGUCGAGCGAACGGACGAGAAGCUUGCUUCUCUGAUGUUAGCGGCGGACGGGUGAGUAACACGUGGAUAACCUACCUAUAAGACUGGUAUAACUUCGGGAAACCGGAGCUAAUCCCGGAUGAUCUUUUGAACCGCAUGGUUCAAUAGUGAAAGACGGUCUUGCUGUCACUUAUAGAUGGAUCCGCGCUGCAUUAGCUAGUUGGUAAGGUAACGGCUUACCAAGGCAACGAUGCAUAGCCGACCUGAGAGAGGGAUCGGCCACACUGGAACUGAGACGCGGUCCAGACUCCUACGGGAGGCAGCAGUAGGGAAUCUUCCGCAAUGGGCGAAAGCCUGACGGAGCAACGCCGCGUGAGUGAUGAAGGUCUUCGGAUCGUAAAACUCUGUUAUUAGGGAAGAACAUAUGUGUAAGUAACUGUGCACAGCUUGACGGUACCUAAUCAGAAAGCCACGGCUAACUACGUG
RNAcentral lists this ribosomal RNA (497 nucleotides) under uncultured bacterium. Its description in RNAcentral is "partial 16S ribosomal RNA". It matches the Rfam family "Bacterial small subunit ribosomal RNA", at positions 28 to 507 of the family's 1533-position model. The record is from RNAcentral.